CGAUUACGGCUCAGUAACACGUAGCUAACCUACCCUUAGGACGUGGAUACCCCCGAGAAAUUGGGGUUAAUCCGCGAUAGAUGUAAUGUCCUGGAAUGGUAUUACGUCUAAAGGUAUUUCAUACAUGUUUGAAAUAUGCCUAAGGAUGGGGCUGCGGCCGAUCAGGCUGUUGGUGAGGUAAUGGCUCACCAAACCUUUGACCGGUACGGGCCAUGAGAGCGGUAGCCCGGAGAUGGACACUGAGACAAGGGUCCAGGCCCUAAGGGGCGCAGCAACCGCGAAACCUCCACAAUGCACUCACGUGCGAUGGGGCUAUCUCGAGUGCCACCUGAUGAAGGUGGCUUUUCCUUGGUCUUCAAAGCCUUGGGAAUAAGAGGGGGGCAAGACUGGUGUCAGCCGCCGCGGUAACACCAGCCCCUCGAGUGGUGGGGAUGAUUAUUUGGCCUAAAGCGUCCGUAGCCGGCCGAGCAAGUCUUCCGUUAAAUCCAGCGUCUCAAGCGUUGGACCGCGGGAGAUACUACACGGCUAGAGAGUGGGAGAGGUUAGCGGUAUUCUGGGGGUAGGGGCGAAAUCCUUUGAUCCCCGGAGGACCACCAGUGGCGAAGGCUG
RNAcentral lists this ribosomal RNA (609 nucleotides) under uncultured crenarchaeote. Its description in RNAcentral is "bacterial SSU rRNA". It matches the Rfam family "Archaeal small subunit ribosomal RNA", at positions 80 to 675 of the family's 1478-position model. Lineage: Archaea; Thermoproteati; Thermoproteota. The record is from RNAcentral.